Molecule: ribosomal RNA, 504 nt
Filed under: uncultured bacterium
Lineage: Bacteria
Description: bacterial SSU rRNA
Rfam family: Bacterial small subunit ribosomal RNA
Source: RNAcentral
UAGCGGCGGACGGGUGAGUAACGCGUGAGAAACCUGCCUUUCACAAAGGAAUAGCCUCGGGAAACUGGGAUUAAUACCUUAUGAAACUUUUAAAUCCCAUGAUUUAAAAGUUAAAGCGUAAAGCGGUGAAAGAUGGUCUCGCGUCCCAUUAGUUAGUUGGUGAGGUAGAGGCUCACCAAGACAUCGAUGGGUAGCCGGCCUGAGAGGGUGAACGGCCACACUGGAACUGAGACACGGUCCAGACUCCUACGGGAGGCAGCAGUGGGGAAUAUUGCACAAUGGAGGAAACUCUGAUGCAGCGACGCCGCGUGAACGACGAAGGCCUUCGGGUCGUAAAGUUCUGUCCUUGGGGACGAUAAUGACGGUACCCAAGGAGGAAGCCCCGGCUAACUACGUGCCAGCAGCCGCGGUAAUACGUAGGGGGCGAGCGUUGUCCGGAAUUAUUGGGCGUAAAGGGUUCGCAGGCGGUCUUUUAAGUCAGAUGUUAAAUGCAUAGGCUCAACC